Gallus gallus (chicken) is the source of this 1839-nucleotide long non-coding RNA. NCBI's taxonomy places the organism in Eukaryota, Metazoa, Chordata, Aves, Galliformes, Phasianidae. The record is from Ensembl.
AACUUGUGCUCUGCAGGGAGACCUCACUGCGGCCUUCCAUCUUCCAGCCUACCCUCCCAGGAUAUCAGAAGAGGAGAAGCACGUGGAAUCAGUGAGCCUGGGGCAUACGGUAUCAUGCUCAGUGUAGCAGAUGGGCCAAACCUGCACCUUCAGUUGUCUUCCUAGUUCUAAGUGACCCACCUCAGAGAAAUAUGAAAUACUACAUACUUAUGGAGAGCAGCAUAUUAGUUGGCAUUGUGAUCUGGAAGCCAGCUUCAAAGGCUAGUGAAGAGUAAAGUCUAGAGAAUUAUCAAAUAUGUAACAAUAAUAAUAGGAAGCCAUCCCAUUUGUAUAGUCACUUGUUGCUUUUCUUUUGCUAUGAACCCUGUUUGUAACUUUAACUCUUUUGAAGCAUCCUCCUGCUGGCUGGGUGCAACACCAUGGCUUCUGAAUUCCAAUUUUCAGUUACUGGAUUUGACACUUUGAAGCACAGCAGUGUCCUGACAUUGAAGAAUAAUCAUUGUGUCAGUCUUCAAAGUGCUUUAUAGUGAAGCAAACACUAAAUUCUAAUGCAAGAUAAAGCCUAAGCACUGUAGGAUCAACAUGAGGAAUCAGCAGUUCCCAUAUAUGUACUCUUUGUGUGAACAAUCAAAUACAAAUACCUACAUAACUUUCCUGCCUUUAAGACUGCCACCUCUGUUAGAGCUAAACAGCUAAGAGCUGUCUAGAGAGCAAGUUUAUAUUCUGCAGAGGUCUGCUUUGAUUCUUAUCUGCUUCUGUAUCACAACUAAAUUAUUAACCUCUUGCAUUAUCUAUGCAAUUUUCAGUCUCUGAUGAUAUUCUUAUUUUGCUUUUGGCAAUAUUUGACUUAUUAGGAAUUGUCAUUUCGUUAUUGGUAUCUUUUUCAGUAAAGCACAUUAAGAAUGGUCUUCAGGGCAAGAAGAGAGAGUGCCAUGAGUACAUAAGAGCUUAACAGUCUCUGAACAAAAAGGAACGGUAUGAAAGCCACUUUACAAAGGGAUUAUGUGCAAGUUACCAAAAGCAAGAUCAUGUCACUCUGAUUAUCUUAAUACUUUUUCUUUUAACUGAAUAUAGCAUUCUAAUAUUCCUGGACUGCCUUGAAGCCAUCGAUAUAGGGCUCCAAAAAGCAAAACUGAAAAGGCUAUGAAUUGACACCAGAGUACAGGCGAGGGGAGUGCUGCAUGAAAAAGAGCUGUGGGAGGAAGGAGGAAUGUUGAAGUCCUGAGACUUUUAAAUUAUUAUUAGUAGUAAUUACUAUUAUUAUUUCAUUUUUUAUUACUUAGGAGGGACAAAAGUAACAUUCUGGAUCUGUGCCCAAAAGUGGCUCUGUUCUGCAGUCAGUGGAUCACUUCCCAACAUUGCACUGGGGAGUAAGCGAAAUAAUUUUUAAUUUGGAAGUAUAAAAAUGUGGAUUUUAGUAAUUAAAAAUGAGUGUCUGGGUUGCGUGAAAGAGUGAAAUCAGCUGACUGCUGGUGACGGUCUUGAACCAUGACACUGUAAAUGCAGUUCUGUGACACGUCACCAGAGGGAUUCCUAAUAAAAAGGGAGAAGCAUGAACAGCAUUGCUCAGGCACCAGCACUCUUAAAACCAAACCAACCAAAAAUGGACAAUAAGCAGCAUUGAAUAAUCUUAAAAAUAAAGCCUAGCUUAGUUAAGGAACAACUAAAAUAUGGCACCCACAUGUAAGUAUGCUACACAGUUGAGCUGGGCAAAAGUAUUGUGGUUCUGGUAUUCUGUCAUUGAAAAGUAUACAGAGUGAACACUUAUUCUAUUGUUGUGUCUGUAGAAAUGGCUGAAGAACUUACGAAAGCAUUUAAUAAAAUAAAAAUCCAAUUGAA